ACAGGUUUACACAGCGGUUUUAACAAAUCCCGCGUAAUAAAGUCGGUUCGGGGGCCAGCCUAGCUAACGGAAGAGACCUCGCCCCUCUGAUCGCAUCCAGUCUUCAACUUGUGGUCUCGGUGGGCGUGCUGGGUGGGCGGCGGACGAGCAGGGAAAGCCUUGGAGAACGUGCAGCGCGAUGCUAAAAAGCCCCACGUUCACCCACCUUCGGCGCGGCGGCGAGACGAGACGAACGCUUUUAACAGGACAGUUAUUUCUUCUUUCUCUCCCUACCUCUCCCUCUCUCUCUCUCUCUCUCUCCGCCUCUCUUCCUCUCUCUACGUCAUCCCUCCCGAAGACGCGCGUCCGGUAGUUAAAGGAGGCGGAAUGUGAUCGUAAAAAAAAAUAUAGGAACUCAUAAAAAUGAGUUUUAUUCCAGCGACACUCCGCCAGACUCCGCCCCUCGGACGCCGCUACCUCCGCCAUCGAGAGCCUCAGCAGUGCGCCCCGAACAGCCUCCACGGAGUCAUAGUCCAGUACUUAAGAAAAAGGAUCCAAUCUGCCAAUUCCAACAAGGGCCCCAGCAGGGAGGCGAGGCGCUGAAGGGAACAGCGGGGGGGAAGGAGACGAGAAGGAACAGCCACUGACUCAUCACAUAUGGCGGCGUCUCAGGGGUUGCCGAAUGGCCGACUUCCCCGCCCAUUUUCAGGAUCUUUAACUGCUCUUUUAGGUGCGUGGUGUUCGUGAAAUUUCCCGCAGUUUUUGUUCAAUGAGAUUUGACAUUGCUUGCCACAAUAUUAUGUCAGAAAUAAUAUCUUAAUAUUUGUUUAUAAAGUGAAUACUGUGAAGUUUUUUUUUUUCGGGUGAAAUAUUUCGUUGGUGAAACUUUUACUGUAGUCCUAUUGACUGUAAGAACCUGUGGUAGGCGUUUUAGUGGGCAGGUAAAAUGUUCAUGUACUUGGCCAGAAUAAAGAUUUUAAAUUCA
Molecule: long non-coding RNA, 964 nt
Organism: Penaeus chinensis
Lineage: Eukaryota; Metazoa; Arthropoda; Malacostraca; Decapoda; Penaeidae
Exons: 2
Source: RefSeq, a predicted model, not a curated record